UACAGAGGUCUCAAGCGUUGUUCGGAUUCAUUGGGCGUAAAGGGUGCGUAGGUGGCGCUGUAAGCGGGGUGUGAAAUCCCGGGGCUUAACCCCGGGACUGCAUUCCAUACUGCGGUGCUUGAGGACUGGAGAGGAGACUGGAAUUUACGGUGUAGCAGUGAAAUGCGUAGAGAUCGUAAGGAAGACCAGUGGCGAAGGCGGGUCUCUGGACAGUUCCUGACACUGAGGCACGAAGGCCAGGGGAGCAAACGGG
This 253-nucleotide ribosomal RNA is filed under the name uncultured bacterium. RNAcentral describes it as "partial 16S ribosomal RNA". It matches the Rfam family "Bacterial small subunit ribosomal RNA", at positions 524 to 776 of the family's 1533-position model. The record is from RNAcentral.